Molecule: long non-coding RNA, 851 nt
Organism: Gossypium arboreum
Lineage: Eukaryota; Viridiplantae; Streptophyta; Magnoliopsida; Malvales; Malvaceae
Exons: 2
Source: RefSeq, a predicted model, not a curated record
GGUGGUGGUUUAACUUUACAAUGCUUUCACAUCUAACCUACUCAUAAAUGGGCGGUGAGGUUUGGGCCCCAAAAUCUGAAAUGGGAGAAGCAAGCACCUGGGUGCUUUCUUGGCCUUUAUUAUUGCCUUUCUUCAUUAUGCUGCAUUACUUUUCAAAUUCCACCGAAGAUGGUUGAAGAAGUUGGCGGGGGAUUCCAAGUGAAGAAGUGGGGGGUUAUUCCCCCUAACAGGAGAUCUGUGAAAAGGAUGAUGUUCCAUAAAUUUCUCAUCUCUGUCUCUUCUCUUUUCCACGCCUGCUGCCACCCUGUUGUUCACUCUAAGAAUUGUUGUUCCAAGCAUACCAGGAUUUUCGCAACAAAAAUACGAUCACCCCACUAGCCAUAUAUUAUUAAUAGCAACCAACUAUGUGUGCGAAAUAUAUGCUAUAGGCCAUCAUAUCAUAGACACCACAUAGAGGUGUUUUAAUGUUAGUUCCUCUUAUCCUCAAUACACUUUCACUCUACUUCUACUAUUCAAGAAACGUGUAUAUAUAUAUAUAAUAGACUCAAGAAUUCCGCGAUCUCUAAGCUCAACUCCUGGAGCAUUGAGUUGAAGUACAGAAAAGAUAAUAAGUUGGUUGGUUACGACAGCCACUCCGGAGUGCAUAAAUUACUUUCAGGAAGUUACUGUCUAGAACUUGACUGGCUACCCAAGUCUUAAUUAAAAGGGAAAUCUUUUUCUUCUAGCUUAGAUUGCCUAUAUCCAUUACUACAUUGUCUUUUCUUCUUGUUUUGAAGCUUUUGCGAUGUAAUUUCUACCAUAGUUUCCUGCUUUUCAUUGAGUACAUCAAUCAAGUUUCACUUGUCAUGAAA